RNAcentral lists this ribosomal RNA (497 nucleotides) under uncultured bacterium. Its description in RNAcentral is "partial 16S ribosomal RNA". It matches the Rfam family "Bacterial small subunit ribosomal RNA", at positions 28 to 507 of the family's 1533-position model. The record is from RNAcentral.
GAUGAACGCUGGCGGCGUGCCUAAUACAUGCAAGUCGAGCGAACGGACGAGAAGCUUGCUUCUCUGAUGUUAGCGGCGGACGGGUGAGUAACACGUGGAUAACCUACCUAUAAGACUGGGAUAACUUCGGGAAACCGGAGCUAAUACCGGAUGAUAUUUUGAACCGCAUGGUUCAAAAGUGAAAGACGGUCUUGCUGUCACUUAUAGAUGGAUCCGCGCUGCAUUAGCUAGUUGGUAAGGUAACGGCUUACCAAGGCAACGAUGCAUAGCCGACCUGAGAGGGUGAUCGGCCACACGGGAACUGAGACACGGUCCAGACUCCUACGGGAGGCAGCAGUAGGGAAUCUUCCGCAAUGGGCGAAAGCCGGACGGAGCAACGCCGCGUGAGUGAUGAAGGUCUUCGGAUCGUAAAACUCUGUUAUUAGGGAAGAACAUAUGUGUAAGUAACUGUGCACAUCUUGACGGUACCUAAUCAGAAAGCCACGGCUAACUACGUG